GCAGUUUAUUUUGCUUUCUAUUAUUUCUUUGAAAGUUUGCCAUUUGGUGGUUUUAUUGCAUAGUGUUUCUGGUUUGCUAUAGUGAAUUGUAUUGGUUUGUUUCUGUAUUCAAUUAUUAUGGGUCUAUGAUCGGAGCUGAGCUCGAGGUUGGGUGUUAUUUUUAGUUUAUUUGUGUUUAGUCCCCUUGUAACUGCAAAGUCCAGA
RNAcentral lists this unclassified non-coding RNA (204 nucleotides) under Bombus terrestris (buff-tailed bumblebee). RNAcentral describes it as "misc RNA ENSBTSG00005039102.1". The record is from RNAcentral. Lineage: Eukaryota; Metazoa; Arthropoda; Insecta; Hymenoptera; Apidae.